Molecule: ribosomal RNA, 615 nt
Filed under: uncultured Lachnospiraceae bacterium
Lineage: Bacteria; Bacillati; Bacillota; Clostridia; Lachnospirales; Lachnospiraceae
Description: bacterial SSU rRNA
Rfam family: Bacterial small subunit ribosomal RNA
Source: RNAcentral
UUUGUGACUGAGUGGCGGACGGGUGAGUAACGCGUGGGUAACCUGCCUUGUACAGGGGGAUAACAGUUGGAAACGGCUGCUAAUACCGCAUAAGCGCACAGCAUCGCAUGAUGCAGUGUGAAGAACUCCGGUGGUAUAAGAUGGACCCGCGUUGGAUUAGCUAGUUGGCAGGGUAACGGCCUACCAAGGCGACGAUCCAUAGCCGGCCUGAGAGGGUGGACGGCCACAUUGGGACUGAGACACGGCCCAGACUCCUACGGGAGGCAGCAGUGGGGAAUAUUGCACAAUGGGGGAAACCCUGAUGCAGCGACGCCGCGUGAGCGAAGAAGUAUUUCGGUAUGUAAAGCUCUAUCAGCAGGGAAGAAAAUGACGGUACCUGACUAAGAAGCCCCGGCUAACUACGUGCCAGCAGCCGCGGUAAUACGUAGGGGGCAAGCGUUAUCCGGAUUUACUGGGUGUAAAGGGAGCGUAGACGGAAUGGCAAGUCUGAUGUGAAAGGCCGGGGCUCAACCCCGGGACUGCAUUGGAAACUGUCAAUCUAGAGUACCGGAGGGGUAAGUGGAAUUCCUAGUGUAGCGGUGAAAUGCGUAGAUAUUAGGAGGAACACCAGUGGCG